AACGAACGCUGGCGGCAUGCCUAACACAUGCAAGUCGAACGGGACCUUCGGGUCUAGUGGCGCACGGGUGCGUAACGCGUGGGGAUCUGCCCCUAGGUACGGAAUAACUCAGGGAAACUUGAGCUAAUACCGUAUAAUGACUUCGGUCCAAAGAUUAUCGCCUAGGGAUGAACCCGCGUAGGAUUAGCUUGUUGGUGAGGUAAAGGCUCACCAAGGCGACGAUCCUUAGCUGGUCUGAGAGGAUGAUCAGCCACACUGGGACUGAGACACGGCCCAGACUCCUACGGGAGGCAGCAGUGGGGAAUAUUGGACAAUGGGCGAAAGCCUGAUCCAGCAAUGCCGCGUGAGGGAGGAAAUCCUUCGGGAUGUAAACCUCACAAGCAAGGGAAGAGAGCUCAGGGCCGAAUAAGCUUUGAGUCCGACGGUACCUUGCGUAAGCCACGGCUAACUACGUGCCAGCAGCCGCAGU
This 469-nucleotide ribosomal RNA is filed under the name uncultured bacterium. RNAcentral's name for it is "bacterial SSU rRNA". It matches the Rfam family "Bacterial small subunit ribosomal RNA", at positions 29 to 521 of the family's 1533-position model. The record is from RNAcentral.